Molecule: ribosomal RNA, 253 nt
Filed under: uncultured bacterium
Lineage: Bacteria
Description: partial 16S ribosomal RNA
Rfam family: Bacterial small subunit ribosomal RNA
Source: RNAcentral
UACGGAGGGUGCAAGCGUUAUCCGGAUUCACUGGGUUUAAAGGGUGCGUAGGCGGGUAAGUAAGUCCGUGGCGAAAUCUCUGAGCUUAACUCAGAAACUGCCGUGGAUACUAUUUGCCUUGAAUAUUGUGGAGGUGAGCGGAAUAUGUCAUGUAGCGGUGAAAUGCUUAGAUAUGACAUAGAACACCAAUUGCGAAGGCAGCUCACUACACAAUCAUUGACGCUGAGGCACGAAAGCGUGGGGAUCAAACAGG